RNAcentral lists this ribosomal RNA (117 nucleotides) under Geobacillus stearothermophilus 10. Lineage: Bacteria; Bacillati; Bacillota; Bacilli; Caryophanales; Anoxybacillaceae. The record is from RNAcentral.
UCUAGUGGUGAUAGCGGAGGGAAAACACCCGUUCCCAUCCCGAACACGGAAGUUAAGCCCUCCAGCGCCGAUGGUAGUUGGGGCCAGCGCCCCUGCAAGAGUAGGUCGCUGCUAGGC